GACUUAGUAGUGUAGUGGUCUAACACACGAGCCCCGGAUAGGCGCGAGGCGCGGGUUCGAAUCCCACUUAAGCCG
RNAcentral lists this transfer RNA (75 nucleotides) under Nippostrongylus brasiliensis. It matches the Rfam family "tRNA". From Rfam's summary of the family: Transfer RNA (tRNA) molecules are approximately 80 nucleotides in length. Their secondary structure includes four short double-helical elements and three loops (D, anti-codon, and T loops). The record is from Rfam by way of RNAcentral. Lineage: Eukaryota; Metazoa; Nematoda; Chromadorea; Rhabditida; Heligmosomidae.